This is an RNA transcript of Cornus florida, 2872 nucleotides long. RefSeq lists it as uncharacterized. NCBI's taxonomy places the organism in Eukaryota, Viridiplantae, Streptophyta, Magnoliopsida, Cornales, Cornaceae. The record is from RefSeq and is a predicted model, not a curated record. The transcript is spliced from 3 exons.
AUUCAGCUUAUUUCAUUUACUUUUUCACUUUGAAAAGUAUUUUGCAAAGUACAUUGGAAUUGCAAAUAGACAAGUUAUUGUCCCUCUCAUUCUUCUUACCUGUCACAUUUUAUGGUAAAAGAUUAUCAAUUGAAAAACGCAGGACAUCAAAUGUGUGUAAACCCCUCAAGAUGGGUUUGCUUUCAAACAUUAUUAUUAUUAUUAUUAUAGCUCUUUCAACAAAUAGUGAAUGGUACAAAAAAUGAAAAAUAGUUCAUAUUUUCUUCAUUUCCUAAUUAUAUUUUCAAAUUCGGUAAGACUCCCCCACGUUUUUAUUUAUUUAUUUAUUUAUAUAUUUUAUUUACACUAAUCCGUAAAUAUUGUGUAUUUUUCAAGAGAUUAACACUCACCACAACAAAUAAAAAAUUAGCUAAUGGUUUGAUUUCCAAUAAAUUAGAAGAUUGUUUUCUAAUAUUUUGUAUCUAAUUUUCUUUUUAGAAAAAUGUUGUCCUUGAGUCUAAGUUGAAACUUGAAAACAACUCAUGUCUUGCUUUUCUACUAUUUAUAUCAGUUGCUUAAAUUUUUAUUUUUAUUUUUUAUUUUAAAAAAAGACCUCAUGUCUUGCUUUUUAAACUUUUUGGCUCACUCUUCUUUUCAACGCUUCCAACUUUUGGUUGUACUAAUAAGCAUCCAUCACAUACUUUAAUAAUAGAGACCUUAAUGGCAAGUUAAAGUAUUCGUCGAAAAUAAAAUUACCCAUUAGGGAGUAUUAUUUUUUAAUUAAUUAACCACAAAAGAUUAGUUAAUGCUCCUUAUUAUGUUUUCUUUAUUUUCCUUCUCGUAUGCAUCGAGUGAGAGUAAAGGAAAAGCAACCAAUUACUUUCCACUCACCUUCCAGCACCCAAUCAUCUUCUGCUACUUUUACUUUCUGCAAAUGCUUUCCCUUUUAAAGCCCAUUUAUAAAUCAUUAAUCAUCCAAAGUUCACUUCUUAUCUAAGUAUCAACACCCCACAAAUUAGUGAUCAGAUAUUUGAAGCUGUUUAUGGUCUUGCUUUGCCAGUUCAGGAUAUUAGCUCAGUUUUGCCAAUAUAUAUCUGUCAACCACAUAGCUGUCAAUAUGAUGUCGACUGACACUUCACAAAGUAUUAGCCUGAAGGUGUUGGUGGAGAAAGAUAAAAAUCGAGUUGUUUUUGUUGAGUCCGAUAAGGAUUUUGUUGAUGUUAUCUUCAGCUUCAUGGCGAUGCCUAUUGGAAACAUUGUCAAACUUGCCUGUGAACACUCACUAGAAGAAAACUUUGGUUGUUUGAACAACUUAUAUCGAAGUGUUGAGAAUCUUGAUGAGGUUCAUCUAGAAAGUGUGAAGUGCAAGGACAUGCUGCUUCGUUCUCGAAGUGCAGCUGAAAUUUACUACAGGAACCUAAAGCUGAAAUUUGUUGACACAAAUGAUAUAUAUGUAUGCUGUGUUAAGCAUAUCACUUCAACCAUCACUAUUGAUGGUUGUACUUUCACCAGUACUAGUGGUCCACACUAUACAUGUAUGGGUCCUUACUACAAUGCUCGUUGCGGUUGUGGAUUUACCAUGAAUACCUUACAUAAACUAGAUAACCAACCCUUUACACCUCAAAGAGGAUCCUCUGUACCUCAAGGAGGGGUGUUUGUGAAACCUACCGCAAAGUUUAUGAUAUUUGAUGAAUUCAAGUAAACCCCAUUUCCACUAUGACAUGUGUAGCCCUGCUCAGUAAGUUUGAAGAUGCGGAUAGAAGCACAAGAGAAUAAAGGACUAUAAACAUAGGAAUGGAGAAGGUAAUAAACAAGUUAACUAGUUUUACAUUUAUUUUAUUAUUUUCUAUGAACAAAAUGAAUGGUCACCAUCUCUCUCUCAGGUUAUAAAAUUGAUCAGUUAUUCAUUAAUAACAAAGGCACCAUUCUCUGAGGUCAUCUUGGAAUCAGCAAAUGACAAAAGCAGUUUUUGUAUUUGCGAGGAAAAAUGUGUCCAAGAAGCACGAUUCAACCUGAAAGGGCCAGGGACGCAGCAACAGACGAAACAAAGAUAACUUUGAAGCUUAUUGUCAACAAAUCUAAUAACAAGGCAUUGUAUGUGGAAGCGAAAGAGGAUUUUAUUAAUCUUAUUGGCAGUUUCCUCACAUAUCCACUUGAUUUUAUGUUUGAAAAAUUGCCUUGUUUGUCCUUAAGGGUAUGUUUGGGUAGUUUAUACAAGAGCAUCCAAGAUUUGGAUGUUGUGGAUUUCUUAAAAUCUGAGGAGAUGAAGGCAAUUUUGGUCAAUCCAAAGCUGCCUCGAGGACUUGCUUUGCAUAAGCAGCUCAUCCCCAUCGAGGAAGCUUCAUAUCCAUCUUACUCUACUGUUUCUUCCCUUUUCAAUAUCUCUUUCGAUGGAGGUCAGACCCGUCCAGUGGAAGCAAUAACUGGCAAUGGAUUCUUUAGGGGACCUACCAUUUUCAUGGUGACAGACGAUUUGACCAUAACACCUUUAUCUUCAAUAUCUCUUGUAUGUUUUAUUGACAGAUUAAAUAUUCGUCUAAGUGACAUUUCAGAGAAAGAAGUGACCGUGGGUGAGGUGGAGGCUUUGCAUCUAUUGGAGGCUGCUUUGGUGUCGAAACUACUCUGACUGACGUUUUCUUACCUAAAAGAAUCAAAGCAGAAACUCUAUGAUGAUUCAAAAAAUUGAUGCAUGAAUGAAGAAGAAACUCUGAAAAUUGAGCAACGAUUGAACAGGUGUCAAACUGUUCCUUUUGUGGCAUUUAUGUCAAUUGCUUCUUUUAUAUUUUAGCUUUCUAAUAUGCGGUCUACUAUAGACUCAAGUAUCAGUUGUAAUUAAGUUGUUUCAGCUGUGUUUUGUUCUCAAAAGUUUUGGACUUGUGCCUUGUGGUAGUCA